This is a long non-coding RNA of Schistocerca serialis cubense, 1571 nucleotides long. RefSeq lists it as uncharacterized. The transcript has 3 exons. NCBI's taxonomy places the organism in Eukaryota, Metazoa, Arthropoda, Insecta, Orthoptera, Acrididae. The record is from RefSeq and is a predicted model, not a curated record.
GGAAAAUGUGGAAAUUGUGGAUUAUUGAUGGUAGAUUAAUCACGCACUGAGUUAUAUUUUAGUGACCUGAACUGACCCUGCAACUCUCUGGGAGGCAGCCCUAGAAAGCACCUAAUGGAUUUCUUCUGCCAGUGGAAAAUGUGAGCCAUACUGUGGGAGUGAGUGGAACAAUAUAUAAUAGUUUCUGUUCAAAUAUGCCACAGAAAUACAAACCCACCAUAGGCGAUGGUUACAAAAAACACAGAUGUAAUCGUAUAAACAAUGCCCUCUCUGACAUCAAAUUGGGCGUUAGCUUCCGGAAAGCAGCUGAAAAACAAGGAAUUCAUUUUAGUGUACUAUACAGACACCUAAAAAGAGCGCCAACAUUGAAUCUCAGGGUGGACAAACUGCCUUGUCUUUUAAAGAAGAGAAGCUGUUUGUAGACAGAUGGAAAUACGCAAUGAAUGGGGCUAUCCUAUUGACUUUACAACCUUAAGACUUCUAGUAAAGGAUUCUCUGGACAGAAGGGGGAAAGAAGUGAGAAGGUUUAUGAACAAUUUCCCUGGUUGUGAUUUUGUGGAUCGUUUACGUGGCAACGCAAAGAUCAAUUAGCAAUGCGAAUGUGCCAAAACAUAAAACGCUCCAGAGCUGGUGUUACACCAGAAGCUAUUAACAGUAACUUUGAUGAGCUGUCCAAGGAAUUGGAGAAUAUGCUGCCAAAUAAUAUAAUAAAUUAUGAUGAGACAAACCUUACAGAUGAUCCAGGAAAAUGAAAGGUAGUCACAUGUAGGGGAACUAAAUAUCCCGAAAGGGUCAUGAACUCCUCAAAGGCAUCAAUCUCAGUAAUGUUUGCAGCUGCUUCAGUUGGCACUAUACUACCCCCUUAUGAUAAAAUGUUUGAUAUGCUCCACUUCGAUUAUUGGGUCCUUACAGUUGCUGUCCCAUACCUGAAAAAGCUGGAAGGUAAGAAAUUUCUCAUUGGAGACAAUUUAUCUUUGCAUCUGUCCAUAGAAUCAGUUACGCUGUGUCACGACAAUAACAUAAGAUUUAUAUUCCUACCAGCAAAAUUCAACACACCUGACACAACCACUGGAUGUGGCAUUUUUUUGGCUUCUUAAAACUAUUUAGCGCCAAUGGAAGAAGGGCCCAGGAAGAAAUGAGGCAACAGUUCCUAAGGAUAACUUGUGAAAAAUUUGUGUGACUCCUCGAAGGAAAAAAAUGUUAUUGCAGGUUUUAGGAAAUGUGGGAUUGUGCCUCUAGACUGCAAUGAAGUAUUGUCAAAUGCUCCCAGGUACUGGUACCGAUAUACCAGUAAACAAAAACCAGGAUAAGAACAAUCUUGAAGAAUCCACUAAUAUUGUUGACAACAGUUUUAAAGAACUCUUCCAGAGUCUUAGACAAGACCAGACUCCUAAACAAAGGAGAAAAAGGACAAAAGUUAAUGUCCAACCUGGCCGAAGUAUUAGUGAUGAUGACUUUGAGGACACGGAUGGGGAGGAUGUAACCCCCAGUUAUUCACUUUACAGUGAUCCAAGCCCUUGUACGUCUAAACAAGGCAAGACCAAAAAAAAAAAAUGCUGGUAUCUCCAUAA